This 398-nucleotide ribosomal RNA is filed under the name uncultured bacterium. RNAcentral describes it as "bacterial SSU rRNA". It matches the Rfam family "Bacterial small subunit ribosomal RNA", at positions 362 to 776 of the family's 1533-position model. The record is from RNAcentral.
UAUUGCACAAUGGGGGGAAACCCUGAUGCAGCAACGCCGCGUGAGUGAAGAAGUAUCUCGGUGUGUAAAGCUCUAUCAGCAGGGAAGAAGAUGACUGUACCUGAGUAAGAAGCCCCGGCUAACUACGUGCCCGCAGCCGCGGUAAUACGUAGGGGGCAAGCGUUAUCCGGAUUUACUGGGUGUAAAGGGAGCGUCGACGGCCAGGCAAGUCUGGAGUGAAAGCCCGGGGCUCAACCCCGGGACUGCUUUGGAAACUGCCAGGCUGGAGUGCUGGAGAGGCAAGCGGAAUUCCUAGUGUAGCGGUGAAAUGCGUAGAUAUUAGGAAGAACACCAGUGGCGAAGGCGGCUUGCUGGACAGUAACUGACGUUGAGGCUCGAAAGGGUGGGGAGCAAACAGG